GCUUCCGCUUCCGGGUGCUAGCACCCACGUGGCACCACCCUGCGGUAUUUAAACCUCGCACGGGGGAGACGCAGUGAGCUCCAGGGAGCGCUCUGUAAGGGUGGUUUUCGGUGUCCUCGUCGACCAGUACGUCUUGGAACAGACGCACAAUCUGCAUCUUCAAGUGGGAGCCACUCACAGAGGUCAUGACCCCCUCCACUCGGCUCCACACGCUCAGCACGGAGCCGCAGAGCACGUGGUCGAGGCCCGAGCAUGGCUCACCGUGUACAUCUCCACGUGGCCCGCACCCGAGUGGCCGCGCGUGUUAAACCUCUUCACUUCCAGCUUCUUCACGCGUUCCUCCCCCGAGCCCAGGCUCUCGAGACGCUUGGCGACGAUGGAAGCGAAGCGCUGCUCCCCGGCGAGCUCGGAGAUGAGGAAGAGAUACUCGGGGGCAUUCACCUGGUUAGAGCGACUUCUUCCUGCGCUCCUUCCUCACCAGCCACGGAUCUAGGGAAUGGCACGGGAGCUCCUCACCCGCUCCUCCACUCCUCACCCACCCCUUGCGUGCAUGUCCGUCCGUAACGACGUAACCGCUCAGCUACUCCCGGACGGAUAUUUGUGAUGAACUGGCACAAUCUGCUAAGUUUGGGUUGCAAGUUACCUAAAAGGAAUAACCAAGAGCAAUAUCACCCCCUACUGGCAAAAGGAUGCCUCCGCUACGUCACAUUGUUCUGCACAUGGACAACUGCCAUCAGGGUGUCCCCUCGGCUAAAAAGAAAACUGCAGCCGGGCAUUGUAAUUA
Petromyzon marinus (sea lamprey) is the source of this 784-nucleotide long non-coding RNA. RefSeq lists it as uncharacterized. Lineage: Eukaryota; Metazoa; Chordata; Hyperoartia; Petromyzontiformes; Petromyzontidae. The record is from RefSeq and is a predicted model, not a curated record.